RNAcentral lists this long non-coding RNA (752 nucleotides) under Phoenix dactylifera (date palm). RNAcentral's name for it is "long non-coding RNA (PDAC_LNC015015)". The record is from RNAcentral. Lineage: Eukaryota; Viridiplantae; Streptophyta; Magnoliopsida; Arecales; Arecaceae.
AAUUAGAUCAAUUAAGAAUCAGAUUCGAAUCCAAUUCGAAUCAAAUUCGAAUCCAAUUCGAAUCCAAUUCGAAUCAAAUUCGAAUCCAAUUCGAAUUAGGAGCUAAGGUUUGCAACACCUGCUAGGAUAUUUAUCUUGCAAACAUGAUCUAAUCCAAUUAGACCCUUGAUCAAUUUUCUUGUGUGUGACCCAUUGGGUUCCAUACUUACCCAGCAGUAGGUGUGGAUUCGAGUUGACCUAUCCUGAUUAAAAUUCUUCUAAUGGAUUUAGGUCCAAACUGCGCGAACCCGAACUUAACAAUUAGAAUCCUUUCUAAUUGGCGAUCGAAUUAAACUCUUUAAUUUGAUCAAACCUACAAGACAAGAUUGACGUCUAGCAACGUGUCAUGUCUAUCCAGAAAAUAUGAAAUUUGGUAGAAAUACCAAAAAUACCCUUCAGUGGCAAGUUACCGUGCAAUACAAUCCUUCAAUCAAACUGCAUCCCGAAUAUGUAUAUGAGUAUGAAUGUAUGUCAAACUCAAUUUUAUAUUCAUAUUUUUCUUAAUCUUCUAAUGAUAAUUCGAAUCAUGAAAUAUUAGAAACUCCUUCUAAUUUUCAUUCUGCUUUAAUCAAAGGCUUCCUGAAUUAUCAUAUGAUUAGAAUAAAUGGGAUGCGAUCUUCUCUUACUAGAAGUGAUUGAUUUCUUGUUGACCGACUCAUAAUCUGUAUACACAAUCCACCAUAUCCAGAAGACCUCGUACACAACUUAUUGUU